AGACCAGUGGUCUAGCGGUUAGGAUGCUACUCUUAUAUGUAUAUCCCAUUUAAAAUGGGAAUAUGUAUGGAGCUAUGUAGCGAUCCCGGUUCGAUUCCGGGCUGGUCUA
Molecule: non-coding RNA, 109 nt
Organism: Monascus purpureus
Lineage: Eukaryota; Fungi; Ascomycota; Eurotiomycetes; Eurotiales; Aspergillaceae
Source: the annotation of a GenBank genome assembly